CAGAGACCAUAUUCGCUUACCACCAAUGGGGAACUGACAAAACUUACAGUGGAAGGUGAGGCAAGAAUAGAAGAGAAGAUUUUCGAGCUAUUUAAUUUAUUGUGUCUUAUAUUCAAUUCAAUUUCUAUUUUCUCUACAAGUUAUGAAAUAUUAUACGUAAAUGCAUUAAAAAAAUUUAUUUUAUGUAGGAGUGGCCAAUUUGCGUGACCUAUGGAGUAAUUCUUCGAUACAUGGGAACAAGUCUGCAACAUUGUCGUACAAAGUAAUCUUCAUUCAUAGUUCUUUGAUGAAAUCUCAUGCAUUAUAAUUUUGCUGCUGAAAUUAGCUUAUAUAGUUUGGAGGGAGUGUGGUUUUUUUUUAAGCUCGUCCAUAUGUUAACCUGUAGCGAAUUCUGAUUGUUUGCUUAUUUUGAGAAUGAUUCAAUAGUAGCAUGUUUUCUUGUAGUCCUUAUUGCACGAUUCGAUGGAAUUGUUAAAGUUGAUGUUCCUUUUAAGAGGGCAAAAUCGAAGUGUAGUGUUGAACAAGUAGGUGUAACCGUUAAGUUCUAUGACGACGAACUCAAUGUAGUCAGUUAUGGGAAAUCGAGAUAAAAAAUGUGACAAUGUGGAUUCUCCUAAAAUGGGUUUAUUACUGAAUAGAGGGAAAAAAUCUUAAAUGCAGAAACAAAUGGAACUCUUGAGUGGAUGUCCAAAGAUUUCACCGAUUAUUAGUUGGGAUAGGAAUGCAAGAAAGGAAUAUGAUGACCUGGAAAUCUUGUCCCUAAUCAAACUGGGAUUGCUGUAAAAGAGAAUUGACUUGUUCAAUUUGAGGCGACGAAUAAUACGGAAGUGAAAAACGUGCGGGAUUCGGAGGAUUUGUAGAAUGCCUUGGCAAUUCUUUAUCGAAAAAAGGCAACAACUGGUAAUGUUUUUUUUUUCAAUUUAAAUGGAUUAAAUUUAUAAUGUAAUAAGUAUUGUGUCGUAGUUUAUAUAUGUCGCGGCAGUGUUCCCAAAUGUGCACUAUGGAAGAUGAGGGGUAAAGAGCAUAAAACCCCCCUGUGUUUUGUAAAACCUACACCAAAUCCCCUUGUGUUAAUUUUAUUGCGUAAAAUCCCCUUCUGUUUUAUUUUUUCUUGCACACACUCCCCUUCUCCGUUAGUUACUAACACCGUUAGAUAUAGUGGUAAAUUUAUGAAUUUGCCCUUUCAAUCAAUUAAGAUUAAAUUAAAGAAAUUAAAAAAAAAAAAGGAAAACAAAAAAGCUAUCGGACUUCUCAACCCAGAUCCUAAUUUCAUUACCCUAAAUCUUUUUAGCACAAAACAAUUCUCUGCACCACCCUAAUCAACACCAGUAUCUUCCACCAUGGCCACCGUCCAAGCACCAUGGACUCUGUAACUUUUCUUGCACUUCCGGCGACCACCGUUUUACCUUGAAAGGGUACUUCUUUGGCAAAGGUAAGGCCGUACAAAUAAAUUACACAGUACUUCUACUUAUUAUAUUGGAUGAAGCAAGUGGUAUUUAUAAAUGAGUGGGAUCCUUUUAAGAGUGGAGGAAAUGAAUAAAAACAUUAAAAAAUGUCAUCUUCUUUCAAAGAGAAGGCAGACCUUUUGUUUUCAAGUUAAUAGUAAAAAGUCACUGUAUAAUGUUGAGAGAAUCAUUUAAAUAUGUUCUGUCAUCGAUCUUAGAGCUUUGUAAAAUAAAAUCAAUAAGUUGUAAAAAAAAUUGAGCUUUGGUACUAUUUAAUUUCUUUUAAUAAUGAUUUUUUUGUUCUUUUAUCAACUAAUUUGUCUAUUUUUUUUUUACACAUGGACAGAGAUAGUGUGUUGGGAAAAGAUAUUGAGCGAACAAACUUUUCCCUGGAAACAAAUUGGUUUUUGUAUGAUGGGCGUAAUGGGGUAAAUGUAGAAAAUUCAACCCAACGUGAUGUGGAUAUUGAUCGAGACUUAGAUCAUAAUGCUGAAAAUGAAGUUGACGAUAAUUCUGACUGUGAUUCAUGGAUGGCUGAAGAUUUUGAAGGUCCAAAUGAUGAUGAUAUAUUUGUCGAGAGACCUGAAGACCACGCUCAUCAAGAACUAAAAAGAAUGAGAGUUGUCAUGCAAGAAUCUGCACAGAAGACCAAUGCUCAAACAUACGAUAUAGACCAACUCGGCAGCUCCAAUGAACAAGAUUGGUACAGUGAUGUUGAAAGCGACAGUGAUAGUGAUCUAGAGAAUUUGAAAGGUUCAGAUCAUGAAGGUGAUGGGUAUGAAUUAUGGAAAGAGAAAAACUACCCCAAUAUGAAUGAGUUUGAGAUGAAAAUUGGUAUGAAAUUCGCUAAUAGAGCCAUCUUCAGGGAGGUCUUGAGGGAUUGGGUAGUUAGGAAUGGCUGGGAUUUAUCUUUCAAAAAGUGUGAAAGGCAUAAAAUCACAGCAAUUUGUAAGAAAGGUUGCAAUUGGAAGAUUCACGAUUCUUCUGUUAUGAAAACAUUAGUAUUUCAGGUGAAGAGUAUAAAAGGGUCUCAUAAAUGCGCUCGUACCAUGGACAACAAACAAGCCACAUACAAAUAUAUAGGGAAGAGAAUUGUGGACGUUGUCAGGGAUAAUCCUUGUGAGAGCUUGGAGACACUUAAGAGGAAAAUUUGGAGGGACAUUCAGGUAGAUUGUAGCUUGCACAUUGUAUGUAGAGCAAGAAGAUAUGCACUAGUGCUGAUCAAAGGAAAUGUAAAGAGAGAAUACGAAAGGCUAUGGGAUUAUUGUGCUACUGUUUGUAAUGAGAACAAAGAAAGUACUCUUCAGUUAAAGCUUGAUAGAUCGGUAAAUCCUCCAGCUCUUAUUAGGAUGUAUUACAGCUUGGGGGGUUUGAAGUCUGGUUUUAAAAUUGGAUGUAGGCCUAUCAUAGGCUUGGAUGGUUGUUUCUUGAAAGGACCAUUUAAAGGGCAUUUGUUGUCUGCCAUUGGGAGAGAUGCUAAUGAUAAUAUUUAUCCGAUUGCUAUGGCAUUUGUUGAGAUAGAAAAAUAUGAUAGUUGGCGUUGGUUUUUAGAAAUUUUACUACGUGAUAUUGGACCAUAUGAGGAGAGAGGGUGGGCAUUCAUAUCGGAUAGACAAAAAGGCCUCAUUGAAGCAGUAUCGGAGCUUUUUCCACAUGCUGAACAUAGGUAUUGUUUGCGGCACAUGUAUAAUAACUUUAAAUUAAAAUUCAAGGGAAUCAACAUGAGAAUGAAGGGCACAUAUUUGGCUAUUUAUGAUCACAUGAUUUAUCCGGUACCUGGAAUGAAGUUUUUUGCAAAUAGUAACCACGGCCCAGUAGAUCCUCCGAUCAUUAAAAUAAAGAGUGGCAGGCCACAAAAGAAAAGAAGAAAGGAUGGUAAUGACACGAGAAAUUCAAAUAUUGUAUCAAGGAAAGGUUUGACGCACACUUGUUCUAAUUGCUUAGAGCUUGGACACAACAAGAAAAGUUGUAGAAAUCCUACUCAUAAGAAGUCAAAGUUAUACAAAGUAAGUUAUUUACAAUUUUACAUUUAUCUAAAAUAUUUUUUUUAGAUACUUAUUUAUUUUUAAAACAACCAUCAGACACUAACAUCACGGAAGAUAAUGAAGCUAGAGGACAAGAACGAGAGACAACAAUGCAAGAUGUUGCACCUGAUGUUCCGUUUCAUCGAUCUACAAAAGCAACAAAAUUAAAAGUUAUAAAGAAGAAACAAGAUAUCCAGGUAAAUUGUUUAAGAGAAUUUAUAUGAUGUAAUCAAUAGGAUCAAUGUACUUUUAUCAUUAUUUGUGUAACUAUUUCUAAUAAUAAAUAAUAUUUACUUUAUGGUUCUUGGUUAUUUAGGUACCAAGGUCAAAUAUUUAUGUAGUUCCCCCUCGUUGUAGUUUAAGGCCAGGGAAUAAUGCAUUGCCCUCUGUUGCAGCAAAAGUAAAAAUAAUUCAAGUAUUUCUAGUUUAUAUUUUACAAGUACUUAAUUAGUAUAAUAUAUUUAGUGUUAAAUAUGUAACAUACAAUUAUUCUUGCAGGAAAAUGUUUUCAAAGCAGCAUGUUGUUCGUCAUCAAAUUUGCCCCCGGAUCAAAAUCAACCUGAAGGUAAUCUAACUAAGAAGCCUAGGCAGAAGAAAACAACCAUUUUUUAGGUGCUCCAAAAAAUUAAAGCAAGACAAAGAGGAAAUGCGCCAUUUUGACUUUUAUUGUAUGAUAUAUUGAUUGUAGUCGUAGAUUUUGCAUUUGACUGAUUAUCCUUUUGCUGGUGGCAAAUUUAUUUGCUAUUUUUUGAAUUUGGCUUGUGGCCAGUUAUCUUUUUGUUUAAGAUGAAUAUUUUGGCUCGAUUAUGGAUGCAAAUAUCUUUUUGUUUGACGAUGUUGCAUAUUUUGGCUAAUUGGUAAUGACACGGGCAUGUUUGUCCAUUACUCUCUUAUGGAAUUGGUUAUGGACGAGUUUAAUUUAACUUUAAUUAUUGUAUGUAAUGAUAAAUUAUUGUUGCUUAUCAAUUAUAUAUAUGAUUUUUGUUUGUGUGUAUUCAAUUUGUUCAAUAUUUUAUUUUUAUUUGUAGAAGUUCAAGAAUAUAUAUAAUAUUUGAAAGAAAUAAAAUGAAGUCUGACAUUUGUUUCCAAUUUUAUCGAGUAGUUAACAUUAACAUUAAAAUAUUAUAAAUUUAUUGAUAUGCAAAUAAUUGGAAAUAAAUAUAAUUGAAAAUUAUUGAUAUGCAAAAAAUAUGUGCCUCUUUUUAAUUUUUUUCCCUAAAAGAGGGAUUUUAUGCAAAUAAGUAUAAAAUAUGAAGGUAUAUUUAAUACAAGGUAUUUGAAGGUUAUUUCGGUCAUUUAAGGUUGAAAGUUGUAGAAAAAUGGAAGCCAACUUUCGGAUCUUUGGCGUGAAAGACACGCGCUGACAGAUUUUAACAGAAGGGGAGUGUGUGCAAGAAAAAACAAAACAAAGGGGGAUUAUAUGCAAUAUAAUUAACACAGGGGGAUUUGGUGCAGAUUUUACAAAACACAGGGGGGUUUUGUGCUCUUUACCCGGAAGAUGAGUAUGCGUUAUAUGAAGAUCCCAUUGAACGAAUAAGGAACCUUACGCCAUUUUUUCGCAGUCUUUGUCAUCUUUUGUCGAUUUUGCUUUUUUUUAAAUGAAUUACAUUGAAAUUUUUAUAUUUCGAUAGGUGGUGAAGUUGGUUUAGCUCGUAAAUGUAUUGAAUCAUUCCUAUCUGGGAAGAGUCAUUUGCUGCUGAAGAAUGAAAAUCACGACAACCGUAAAUCCACAAAGCAAACAAAAUCACCUGACAUUUUUCUCCCCGGUAGAUCUUCAUGUCAAGUAAAUUAUUAUGUUCCUAUACAAAUUUGUUUUUUAUUUUAUUUUUUUUGCGAAAUAAAUAAAUAAUUAAAUUAAAAUAAUGUGUAUUAUAUUCUCAGGACUUCGAGUAUAUAUGUGUGAAGGAUAAUUGGAGGCU
This 5388-nucleotide long non-coding RNA is filed under the name Erythranthe guttata (spotted monkey flower). Its description in RNAcentral is "long non-coding RNA (EGUT_LNC000746)". The record is from RNAcentral. Lineage: Eukaryota; Viridiplantae; Streptophyta; Magnoliopsida; Lamiales; Phrymaceae.